AUGCUCUGCGGGGCGUGCAGCAGGGCCGGGCUGCGGGAGCCGGGGCGCCCCGCAGCGCUGCGGGACGGCUGCGGGACGGCCGCGGGGCGGGCAGGAGCGGGACCCGCCGGGGCAGCCCCGGCCCCGCUCUUAUUUUGGUUGGGAGCGGGCGGCGCGGCCCCGGCUGGAGCGCGGAGGGAGGCGAACUGUGCUCCUCUGUUCGGUUUCGGCAACCAACGCCAGGCUGGCAAAAAUGCACCCUCUGUGGACAAUGGCCCGGCCUUCCUGCUCGCCUCGCUCCUCUUCUUCCUCCCCGAGCCAAAGAAACUUUCCAGACCCCCCCCCCCCGGCCCCUCCUGCAUCUCCCCCGGGGCAGGCUCCGAGAGCAGCCCCACCGGCACCGGGCCGGGCCCGGGGGAGGCAGGAGGGGGGUCCCCAGCCGGGCUGCGGGUGCUUUGGGGGGGGCUGCCCCCAUUGCACCGGGCUGAGGAUGCUCUGGGGGGCUGCUGCGGUCCCCGGUCCCCCCAGGGUGUCCCCAGCCGUGUCCCGUGCUGGGUGGUGAGGGAAAGCCCGGUGGCACCCCCAGGCUGGGCAUCCCCUCGGCCUGGAGGCGAGCAAGGCGCUGGAGAGCCCUGGGGGUGUUUGGGGAGGGAGAGGAGCCACCUUCCUCCUGCCGCCAGCCCAGCUCGACCCCAAAAACUGGAGAGGGCCGGAGGGGGCCAGAGGGCCGUGCCCCCGGGCGCUUCGGCUGAGCCCUUCCCGGGGCGCUGCUCGCCUCCACCGGCCGCGAUCGCUGCAGGAAAGAAGAAAACAACCAUUAGCUGCAUCGCCCAGGGACGGGGAGCUUGCUCUCGCUUUUAUUUCUAUUUUCUACACGUUGUCCCGCACAGCUCCCCGGUGCGGGCUUUGGGAAGUGCCCGCUGCAAUCCCCUUUGCCUGCCGGAGGGGCUCGGCCGCCUCCCCUCGCUCCUCUCCACCUGCUCCUGGGCCAGCCCCAAAAGCCCCGUCGUGGGGCGCUCCUUUAGCGGCCGGGCGCUGGGAAAGUAAAAGGCAAACUCCAGUCGCGCCCGGGUCUGGCUCCGAGGAUUCAAUAAACAAGCCGCAUUAACUCCA
This 1092-nucleotide long non-coding RNA is filed under the name Anas platyrhynchos platyrhynchos (common mallard). Its description in RNAcentral is "lncRNA (ENSAPLG00000018810.1)". The record is from RNAcentral. Lineage: Eukaryota; Metazoa; Chordata; Aves; Anseriformes; Anatidae.